AGCAGCCGCGGUAAUUCCAGCUCCAAUAGCGUAUAUUAAAGUUGUUGCAGUUAGAAAGCUCGUAGUUGAAUUUCGGGGUCAGCAGGUCGGUCGUGCCACUGGUAUGCACUGGCCUUGCUGAUUCCUCCCUCUUGAUGAGCCGUAAUGCCAUUAAUUUGGUGUUGCGGGGAAUCAGGACUGUUACUUUGAAAAAAUUAGAGUGUUUAAAGCAGGCAAGCGCUUGAAUACAUUAGCAUGGAAUAAUGAAAUAGGACGUUCGAUCCUAUUUUGUUGGUUUCUAGGAUUGACGUAAUGAUUAAUAGGGAUAGUUGGGGGCAUUAGUAUUCAAUUGUCAGAGGUGAAAUUCUUGGAUUUAUUGAAGACUAACUACUGCGAAAGCAUUUGCCAAGGAUGUUUUCAUUAAUCAAGAACGAAAGUUAGGGGAUCGAAGACGAUCAGAUACCGUCGUAG
RNAcentral lists this ribosomal RNA (450 nucleotides) under uncultured Glomeromycotina. RNAcentral describes it as "SSU rRNA". It matches the Rfam family "Eukaryotic small subunit ribosomal RNA", at positions 569 to 1023 of the family's 1831-position model. The record is from RNAcentral. Lineage: Eukaryota; Fungi; Glomeromycota.